Molecule: long non-coding RNA, 257 nt
Filed under: Sorghum bicolor (sorghum)
Lineage: Eukaryota; Viridiplantae; Streptophyta; Magnoliopsida; Poales; Poaceae
Description: long non-coding RNA (SBIC_LNC002879)
Source: RNAcentral
AGUGAGCAUUUAAUGUAGCAAAUAAACAAUUUUUGUGGAAAUUUAAAAUUUAUCAUAAGCUUAGUAACAUGAUUUUGUGCAUUCAUGCUGAGACAUAUUUUAUUUUGUGGUGAUUGUAUUUGGUUUAUAUUUAAUUGUCCUCAAAAUCCUUUUUGAAAAAGGCUUUGAAAAAAAAGAGAAUAAAACAAAACAGAAAAGAAAUUGGAAAUAGGAGAAAAAAAAAGCCUUCCAGCCGCAGCCAGCAGCAGGCCGAGGCC